Molecule: non-coding RNA, 187 nt
Organism: Lysobacter daejeonensis GH1-9
Lineage: Bacteria; Pseudomonadati; Pseudomonadota; Gammaproteobacteria; Lysobacterales; Lysobacteraceae
Source: Rfam
CGUCCUCUGCUGUGUUCGACGGCGUACGCAAACAUUCGCCUUGUCCCUUAAUUACGACCACGGGGGCGCAACGGAAGCCCGGAGUGCAUGUCCGCCACGCAGCGGGAAGCCCGACGGCCACCAAGCGUUCCCACUUGAACCCCGGGUUCAAGGUCGUUUCGUAAGCAUCGGCACGAGCGGAGGACUU